This 252-nucleotide ribosomal RNA is filed under the name uncultured bacterium. Its description in RNAcentral is "partial 16S ribosomal RNA". It matches the Rfam family "Bacterial small subunit ribosomal RNA", at positions 524 to 776 of the family's 1533-position model. The record is from RNAcentral.
UACGGGGGGAGCAAGCGUUGUUCGGAUUUACUGGCGUAAAGGGCGCGUAGGCGGCGUGACAAGUCACUUGUGAAAUCUCCGGGCUUAACUCGGAACGGUCAAGUGAUACUGUCGUGCUAGAGUACAGAAGGGGCAACUGGAAUUCUCGGUGUAGCGGUGAAAUGCGCAGAUAUCAGGAGGAACACCGGUGGCGAAGGCGGGUCUCUGGGCCGUAACUGACGCUGAGGAGCGAAAGCAUGGGGAGCGAACAGG